GUCAGUGUGGUGUAAUGAUAUGAGUGUUGGACUACAACUCCGGAGAUCAGGGUUCAAUUCCCUGUUUGGCCA
Molecule: non-coding RNA, 72 nt
Organism: Phrynosoma platyrhinos (Desert horned lizard)
Lineage: Eukaryota; Metazoa; Chordata; Lepidosauria; Squamata; Phrynosomatidae
Source: the annotation of a GenBank genome assembly